GACGGAGGAUGCAAGUGUUAUCCGGAAUUAUUGGGCGUAAAGCGUUUGUAGGUGGAUAAACAAGUCGAUCGUUAAAUAUAGGGGCUUAACCUCUACUCAGCGAUCGAAACUGUUUAUCUUGAGGGUGGUAGGGGUAGAAGGAAUUCCUAGUGUAGCGGUGAAAUGCGUAGAUAUUAGGAAGAACACCAACGGCGAAGGCAUUCUGCUGGGCCACACCUGACACUGAGAAACGAAAGCUAGGGGAGCGAAUGGGAUUAGAUACCCCAGUAGUCCUAGCCGUAAACGAUGGAUACUAGAGGAUAUGCGUUCGCCGUAUUCUCGCAGUUCACACAGUAAGUAUCCCGCCUGGGGAGUACGCUCGCAAGGGUG
This 369-nucleotide ribosomal RNA is filed under the name uncultured phototrophic eukaryote. RNAcentral's name for it is "SSU rRNA". It matches the Rfam family "Bacterial small subunit ribosomal RNA", at positions 524 to 896 of the family's 1533-position model. The record is from RNAcentral.